UAUCAGCAGGAGAAGAAGAGAAACUCCCAUCACUUUCAGCACCAACAUGUUCUCUGUAGCUCUGCUGUUACUGCUGGCUGCUGCAUCCUAUGUGAAGUGUGAACAGCUGACCCAGCCAGCCUCUGUGACUCUGCAGCCAGGUCAACGUCUGACCAUCAGCUGUCAGGUCUCUUAUUCUCUGGGCAGCUACUACACAGCUUGGAUCAGACAGCCUGCUGGGAAAGGACUGGAGUGGAUUGGGAUGAAAUACACUGGAGAUUCAUUCUACAAAGAUUCACUUCGGAACAAAUUCAGUAUCGACUUAGACACUUCCAGUAAAACAGUGACUCUGAAUGGACAGAAUAUGCAGCCUGAAGACUCUGCUGUGUAUUACUGUGCCAGAGAGUCACAGUGACACAAACCAGCUGCAGAGCUGAACAAAAACCCUUCAGAACAUAAACAGAUU
Molecule: non-coding RNA, 445 nt
Organism: Xiphophorus couchianus (Monterrey platyfish)
Lineage: Eukaryota; Metazoa; Chordata; Actinopteri; Cyprinodontiformes; Poeciliidae
Source: the annotation of a RefSeq genome assembly